GUACGUUUCCACUGUAAAGAGAGUCAGCCGGGGAGCGGGGCCGCCGCGCCCGCCCGGCCCCGACGCACAAAGGCUUCAUAUAUUCUGAAUGAAGGCGAAUCGCAGCCUCGGCCUCCGUGAAAAGAGCCGUGAGGGAGACUUAAUUCUCUCCCUUUCAGCUGUGCUCAGACUGUGAAAUCCACACAAUCGCGCCCUUCUCUUUAGAGGGAGGGAGGAGAGGGGCCGCGGUCGCGCGCCGCGCCGUUAGCCGGGCGCGCACAGGGAGAGUUCACUCCGGGGACAAGGGCGGCCGGCCCGGGGCUGGUUGGCAGCAGGGUUUCCCAUCCGACCGGGCGGCGGCAGCCCCUUUCUCCCGCUGCAUUUCACGGCGCCUUUUGUUGGCUCGCGCAGACCAGGGUCGGGCCUGUCAGCACUUACUCUGAGGAAAGCCAUGUCAGCAGCUGCCUUCUGGAGAAUCCACCUGGCGAGGAACUCCAGCCUCCUGCCAACAGCCACGUGGAAUGUAAAAAGGUGAGAUGCGUUGCUUGUAUUAACACAAUUGGAGACACUGGCACUGCCGUCAUGCCCAGGCUGUCCAGCAGACGUCACUUUAUUCCGUGGUGCAUUCCCAGAACAUUGCAUGGGUGAAUAACGACUUUUUGUAAAUUGAAUCAGGCUUAAAGUUCCCUAGUGUUGCUGGCUAAAGGAAGCCUCGAGUGAGCUCUUUUGUACCCGAAUAAAUUUGGUAAAAUAAAGAGACAGUUCCUA
Molecule: long non-coding RNA, 747 nt
Filed under: Equus caballus (horse)
Lineage: Eukaryota; Metazoa; Chordata; Mammalia; Perissodactyla; Equidae
Description: lncRNA (ENSECAG00000049279.1)
Source: RNAcentral